CGUGGGUAACCUGCCCAANAGAUCGGGAUAACACCUGGAAACAGAUGCUAAUACCGGAUAACAACAGAUGAUGCCUAUCAACUGUUUAAAAGAUGGUUCUGCUAUCACUCUUGGAUGGACCUGCGGUGCAUUAGCUAGUUGGUAGGGUAACGGCCUACCAAGGCAUGAUGCAUAGCCGAGUUGAGAGACUGAUCGGCCACAUUGGGACUGAGACACGGCCCAAACUCCUACGGGAGGCAGCAGCC
This 245-nucleotide ribosomal RNA is filed under the name uncultured Lactobacillus sp. Its description in RNAcentral is "partial 16S ribosomal RNA". It matches the Rfam family "Bacterial small subunit ribosomal RNA", at positions 116 to 355 of the family's 1533-position model. Lineage: Bacteria; Bacillati; Bacillota; Bacilli; Lactobacillales; Lactobacillaceae. The record is from RNAcentral.